AAAGAUUCAUUUGGUUUGGCCUACAGUGCAUUUUAGUUAAUAUUUGAAUUGGUUGUCAACAUUUUAAAACUGGAACUCUUUCAUCAAUAAUAGGGAAUUUGUUACCCUGCUUCGUACGUGCUCUCCUGAAAACAGCUGGGCAGAGUCAAGGUCGGCCCCUUCGGAGAAGCCAGAGAUCCCUUGCUGUUCAUGUUAAACGUGGCUGACAAUGAUAAGUAGCCUGAAUGGGGAAACCAAGACAGCAACUGUCAUGUGUUUAGUAGACACAAACCAGAUUCUGAUCUCAGAAGCAACUCAGGUGCCCAAUUUCAACUACGACACACAACCAACCAAGACAAAUUCUCAGCAAUCCACUGUGGUGAGAAGAAUCGAAAUAAAAUUGGGGGAAAUCCUCAG
Long non-coding RNA from Neogale vison (American mink), 396 nucleotides. RefSeq lists it as uncharacterized. NCBI's taxonomy places the organism in Eukaryota, Metazoa, Chordata, Mammalia, Carnivora, Mustelidae. The transcript is spliced from 3 exons. The record is from RefSeq and is a predicted model, not a curated record.